This 372-nucleotide ribosomal RNA is filed under the name uncultured bacterium. RNAcentral's name for it is "bacterial SSU rRNA". It matches the Rfam family "Bacterial small subunit ribosomal RNA", at positions 524 to 898 of the family's 1533-position model. The record is from RNAcentral.
UACGGAGGGUGCAAGCGUUAUCCGGAUUCACUGGGUUUAAAGGGUGCGUAGGUGGACUGGUAAGUCCGUGGUGAAAUCCCCAAGCUUAACUUGGGAACUGCCGUGGAUACUAUCAGUCUUGAAUACUGUGGAGGUAAGCGGAAUAUGUCAUGUAGCGGUGAAAUGCUUAGAUAUGACAUAGAACACCGAUAGCGAAGGCAGCUUGCUACACAGUCAUUGACACUGAGGCACGAAAGCGUGGGGAGCAAACAGGAUUAGAUACCCUGGUAGUCCACGCCCUAAACGAUGAUUACUCGACAUACGCGAUACACUGUGUGUGUCUGAGCGAAAGCAUUAAGUAAUCCACCUGGGAAGUACGACCGCAAGGUUGAA